UUUACGGAGAGUUUGAUCCUGGCUCAGGAUGAACGCUGGCGGCGUGCUUAACACAUGCAAGUCGAACGGUGAAAGAGAGCUUGCUCUCUGGAUCAGUGGCGAACGGGUGAGUAACACGUGAGCAAUCUGCCCCUGACUCUGGGAUAACAGCUGGAAACAGCUGCUAAUACCGGAUACGAGCUGCGAAGGCAUCUUCAGCAGCUGGAAAGAAUUUCGGUCAGGGAUGAGCUCGCGGCCUAUCAGCUUGUUGGUGAGGUAAUGGCUCACCAAGGCGUCGACGGGUAGCCGGCCUGAGAGGGUGACCGGCCACACUGGGACUGAGACAC
RNAcentral lists this ribosomal RNA (326 nucleotides) under Microbacterium sp. Its description in RNAcentral is "bacterial SSU rRNA". It matches the Rfam family "Bacterial small subunit ribosomal RNA", at positions 1 to 327 of the family's 1533-position model. Lineage: Bacteria; Bacillati; Actinomycetota; Actinomycetes; Micrococcales; Microbacteriaceae. The record is from RNAcentral.